AGCACUUGUAAAUGAGCCUCACGAAGAUCUAAUCCAAGCAGAGACAAUGCCUGGCCAUUGGGAAUUGCAACUCUACGUAAUUUGUGACGUCUGGUGACUUUAGACUUCCAAGAGUGCUCAUCUUCAAGGUGGGAACACAGAGACGCAAUGUCGAAAUCUUCAUAACAGUAGGGACAUGGGAAAUCGGGUCGCACCUCGUCUUCUACCACGAAAUCAUCGAUGCUCAACCGAUCUAGGUGGUAGCUCUGAUGAUGGUGCUG
Molecule: unclassified non-coding RNA, 260 nt
Filed under: Hevea brasiliensis (rubber tree)
Lineage: Eukaryota; Viridiplantae; Streptophyta; Magnoliopsida; Malpighiales; Euphorbiaceae
Source: RNAcentral